Molecule: non-coding RNA, 278 nt
Organism: Syngnathus acus (greater pipefish)
Lineage: Eukaryota; Metazoa; Chordata; Actinopteri; Syngnathiformes; Syngnathidae
Source: RefSeq, a predicted model, not a curated record
UUUCUGCAGCCUUUUAAUGUUGCUCCUUGCACAUGUCAGUUGCUUGUGGACACAACAAGGUUGCAAAAAUCAAUUCAAAGAAUGAAAAGGCGUUACUUCUGGAGGCUUAGAAGCAUCACGUGCGAUGUUCUUUGGAUAAAACCCCUGCUUACCACGGCGGUGAUGAGCUGUCUGUGCACAUUACCUUUCUUGAGGCAGGUAGAGCAAAAGGUUGGCCACCGGAUAUUGUCUCAAUUGGGUGAAGCGCUUCCCAUUGGACACGGCUGGCCGCCACAAAU